GACGAACCGUGCGAACGUUGUUCGGAUUCACUGGGCUUAAAGGGCGCGUAGGCGGGAGACCAAGUCAGGGGUGAAAUCUUUCGGCCCAACCGGAAAAGUGCCCCUGAUACUGGCCGCCUCGAGGGGGGUAGGGGCAUGCGGAACUUCCGGUGGAGCGGUGAAAUGCGUAGAUAUCGGAAGGAACGCCGGUGGCGAAAGCGGCGUGCUGGACCCCUUCUGACGCUGAGGCGCGAAAGCCAGGGGAGCAAACGGG
This 253-nucleotide ribosomal RNA is filed under the name uncultured bacterium. RNAcentral describes it as "partial 16S ribosomal RNA". It matches the Rfam family "Bacterial small subunit ribosomal RNA", at positions 524 to 776 of the family's 1533-position model. The record is from RNAcentral.